GCUCUGCGCAGUGGCGGGUGCCUGUAGUCCCAGCUACUUGGGAGUGCCACCAACACAAAAUCAGAGGCUGGAGGAUCUCUUGAGUCGAGGAGUUCUGGGCUGUAGUGUGCUAUGCCGAUCGGGUGUCCGCACUAAGUUCGGCAUGAAUGUGCUGACUUCCUGGGAGCGGGGGACCACCAGGUUGCGUAAGGAGGGGUGAACCUGCACAGGUCUGAAACAGAGCAGGGCAGAACUCCCAUGCUGAUCAGUAGUGAGAUCACCUGUGAAUAGCCACCGUACUCCAGCCUGGGCAACAUAGCGAGACCCAUCUCUU
This 313-nucleotide signal recognition particle RNA is filed under the name Saimiri boliviensis boliviensis (Bolivian squirrel monkey). RNAcentral describes it as "Metazoan signal recognition particle RNA (ENSSBOG00000005480.1)". It matches the Rfam family "Metazoan signal recognition particle RNA". Rfam says of the family: The signal recognition particle (SRP) is a universally conserved ribonucleoprotein. It is involved in the co-translational targeting of proteins to membranes. The record is from Rfam by way of RNAcentral. Lineage: Eukaryota; Metazoa; Chordata; Mammalia; Primates; Cebidae.